RNAcentral lists this ribosomal RNA (250 nucleotides) under uncultured prokaryote. RNAcentral describes it as "partial 16S ribosomal RNA". It matches the Rfam family "Bacterial small subunit ribosomal RNA", at positions 524 to 774 of the family's 1533-position model. The record is from RNAcentral.
UACGCAGGGGGCAAGCGUUGUCCGGAAUUAUUGGGCGUAAAGCGCGCGCAGUCGGCUAUGUAAGUCUGGUGUAUAACCUCAGGGCUCAACCCUGGGUCGCACUGGAAACUGUGUAGCUUGAGUACAGAAGAGGAAAGUGGAAUUCCACGUGUAGCGGUGAAAUGCGUAGAGAUGUGGAGGAACACCAGUGGCGAAGGCGACUUUCUGGGCUGUAACUGACGCUGAGGCGCGAAAGCGUGGGGAGCAAACA